GGCCAUGACCCCCCUCCCCUCCCCACACAGGAUCGCAAGCAGCAACAACCUGAACAAGUCGGAGAGUGACCAGGAGGACAAUGAUGACAUCAACGACAACGACUGGUCCUACGGCUCUGAGAAGAAAGCAAAGAAGAGGAAAUCGGAUAAGAACCCCAACUCGCCCCGCAGGUCCAAGUCCCUGAAACACAAAAAUGG
Molecule: long non-coding RNA, 198 nt
Organism: Neopelma chrysocephalum (saffron-crested tyrant-manakin)
Lineage: Eukaryota; Metazoa; Chordata; Aves; Passeriformes; Pipridae
Exons: 3
Source: RefSeq, a predicted model, not a curated record